AUUGAACGCUGGCGGCAUGCUUUACACAUGCAAGUCGAACGGUAACAGGCCGCAAGGUGCUGACGAGUGGCGCACGGGUGAGUAAUGCAUCGGAACGUGCCCAGUCGUGGGGGAUAACUACUCGAAAGAGUAGCUAAUACCGCAUACGAUCUAUGGAUGAAAGCGGGGGACCGUAAGGCCUCGCGCGAUUGGAGCGGCCGAUGUCAGAUUAGGUAGUUGGUGGGGUAAAGGCUCACCAAGCCAACGAUCUGUAGCUGGUCUGAGAGGACGACCAGCCACACUGGGACUGAGACACGGCCCAGACUCCUACGGGAGGCAGCAGUGGGGAAUUUUGGACAAUGGGCGCAAGCCUGAUCCAGCAAUGCCGCGUGCAGGAAGAAGGCCUUCGGGUUGUAAACUGCUUUUGUACGGAACGAAACGGCUCUGGUUAAUACCCGGGGCUAAUGACGGUACCGUAAGUAUAAGCACCGGCUAACUACGUG
RNAcentral lists this ribosomal RNA (482 nucleotides) under uncultured bacterium. Its description in RNAcentral is "partial 16S ribosomal RNA". It matches the Rfam family "Bacterial small subunit ribosomal RNA", at positions 30 to 507 of the family's 1533-position model. The record is from RNAcentral.